GCGAAGGUAGCAUAGUCAGUAGUCUUUUAAUUGGAGGCUUGAAUGAAUGGUUGGACGAGGGAUAAACUGUCUCCUUAGCGGCGUUUGAAUUUAACUUUUGAGUGAAAAGGCUCAAAUUGUUUAGGGGGACGAUAAGACCCUAUAAAACUUAAUAUAAUUUAGGCUUAACUUGCGAUGUGGGUGAAAAGUAGUUUUGUCUGGUUUAUAUUUCGUUGGGGAGAUGAAGAUAUAAUG
This 234-nucleotide ribosomal RNA is filed under the name Macrobrachium rosenbergii (giant freshwater prawn). Its description in RNAcentral is "partial 16S ribosomal RNA". Lineage: Eukaryota; Metazoa; Arthropoda; Malacostraca; Decapoda; Palaemonidae. The record is from RNAcentral.